AGAACAGUGUCAAAAUACCUUUUCUAAAGACCACACUCCACAAUGGGCUAUAGCACUUACAUAGCUCACUAUUAUUACGUGGCCUACAUU
Molecule: small nucleolar RNA, 90 nt
Filed under: Dasypus novemcinctus (nine-banded armadillo)
Lineage: Eukaryota; Metazoa; Chordata; Mammalia; Cingulata; Dasypodidae
Description: Small nucleolar RNA SNORA4 (ENSDNOG00000030549.1)
Source: RNAcentral